AUUGAACGCUGGCGGCAGGCCUAACACAUGCAAGUCGAGCGGAUGAAGGGAGCUUGCUCCUGGAUUCAGCGGCGGACGGGUGAGUAAUGCCUAGGAAUCUGCCUGGUAGUGGGGGAUAACGUCCGGAAACGGGCGCUAAUACCGCAUACGUCCUGAGGGAGAAAGUGGGGGAUCUUCGGACCUCACGCUAUCAGAUGAGCCUAGGUCGGAUUAGCUAGUUGGUGGGGUAAAGGCCUACCAAGGCGACGAUCCGUAACUGGUCUGAGAGGAUGAUCAGUCACACUGGAACUGAGACACGGUCCAGACUCUUACGGGAGGCAGCAGUGGGGAAUAUUGGACAAAGGGCGAAAGCCUGAUCCAGCCAUGCCGCGUGUGUGAAGAAGGUCUUCGGAUUGUAAAGCACUUUAAGUUGGGAGGAAGGGCAGUAAGUUAAUACCUUGCUGUUUUGACGUUACCAACAGAAUAAGCACCGGCUAACUUCGUG
RNAcentral lists this ribosomal RNA (484 nucleotides) under uncultured bacterium. RNAcentral's name for it is "partial 16S ribosomal RNA". It matches the Rfam family "Bacterial small subunit ribosomal RNA", at positions 30 to 507 of the family's 1533-position model. The record is from RNAcentral.